Molecule: long non-coding RNA, 525 nt
Organism: Juglans microcarpa x Juglans regia
Lineage: Eukaryota; Viridiplantae; Streptophyta; Magnoliopsida; Fagales; Juglandaceae
Exons: 2
Source: RefSeq, a predicted model, not a curated record
AGAUCAUCAAUCCAACCAACAAUCCUAAAAUGAAGGCUAUCGUUAUCAUUUGCAUUCUGCUGGCUACCCUUCUUUUCUCGUCCCCUUCAAUUGUUGUGGCUCGCGAGCUGGCUGAUCGGGAUGGAAUUCCUCCCGUAAGCAAGAAUCCCAACAAGCCAGUAGUAUCACCAUGCGGAAAGCCUGGCGAACCCGGGUAUAGCAAAUGCAUAAGAAAACAAAGGCCCAUCAAGUGUAAUAAAAAUAGCGCAUUUCGCCGUUGCAAGCCACCUCAAGGACCUUGAAUCAGUAGUACUACUUAAUUAUUGUAGUACUGGUGUGGUGAAAGUAUGAAUAAAUAGUACUAAAGUUACAAGUAGUACUCAUGAUUAAUAUUGUAAUGGAGCUGGAUCGAUCGAUCGAGCUUCCUUUGCAGUAUGGAAACAUAUAUGUAAAAUCUGCUGCAUCUUGAUCAUAUCCUGUCGUGUGCCAAUAUAUAAAAAGAUCGAGCUGACCGACAUAGUUUCGGUGAUCAGCUUGUUGUGAUCC